GAUGAACGCUGGCGGCGUGCCUAAUACAUGCAAGUCGAGCGAACGGACGAGAAGCUUGCUUCUCUGAUGUUAGCGGCGGACGGGUGAGUAACACGUGGAUAACCUACCUAUAAGACUGGGAUAACUUCGGGAAACCGGAGCUAAUACCGGAUAAUAUUUUGAACCGCAUGGUUCAAAAGUGAAAGACGGUCUUGCUGUCACUUAUAGAUGGAUCCGCGCUGCAUUAGCUAGUUGGUAAGGUAACGGCUUACCAAGGCAACGAUGCAUAGCCGACCUGAGAGGGUGAUCGGCCACACUGGAACUGAGACACGGUCCAGACUCCUACGGGAGGCAGCAGUAGGGAAUCUUCCGCAAUGGGCGAAAGCCUGACGGAGCAACGCCGCGUGAGUGACGAAGGUCUUCGGAUCGUAAAACUCUGUUAUUAGGGAAGAACAUAUGUGUAAGUAACUGUGCACAUCUUGACGGUACCUAAUCAGAAAGCCACGGCUAACUACGUGCCAGCAGCCGCGGUAAUACGUAGGUGGCAAGCGUUAUCCGGAAUUAUUGGGUGUAAAGCGCGCGUAGGCGGUUUUUUAAGUCUGAUGUGAAAGCCCACGGCUCAACCGUGGAGGGUCAUUGGAAACUGGAAAACUUGAGUGCAGAAGAGGAAAGUGGAAUUCCAUGUGUAGCGGUGAAAUGCGCAGAGAUAUGGAGGAACACCAGUGGCGAAGGCGACUUUCUGGUCUGUAACUGACGCUGAUGUGCGAAAGCGUGGGGAUCAAACAGGAUUAGAUACCCUGGUAGUCCACGCCGUAAACGAUGAGUGCUAAGUGUUAGGGGGUUUCCGCCCCUUAGUGCUGCAGCUAACGCAUUAAGCACUCCGCCUGGGGAGUACGACCGCAAGGUUGAAACUCAAAGGAAUUGACGGGGACCCGCACAAGCGGUGGAGCAUGUGGUUUAAUUCGAAGCAACGCGAAGAACCUUACCAAAUCUUGACAUCCUUUGACAACUCUAGAGAUAGAGCUUUCCCCUUCGGGGGACAAAGUGACAGGUGGUGCAUGGUUGUCGUCAGCUCGUGUCGUGAGAUGUUGGGUUAAGUCCCGCAACGAGCGCAACCCUUAAGCUUAGUUGCCAUCAUUAAGUUGGGCACUCUAAGUUGACUGCCGGUGACAAACCGGAGGAAGGUGGGGAUGACGUCAAAUCAUCAUGCCCCUUAUGAUUUGGGCUACACACGUGCUACAAUGGACAAUACAAAGGGCAGCGAAACUGCGAGGUCAAGCAAAUCCCAUAAAGUUGUUCUCAGUUCGGAUUGUAGUCUGCAACUCGACUACAUGAAGCUGGAAUCGCUAGUAAUCGUAGAUCAGCAUGCUACGGUGAAUACGUUCCCGGGUCU
RNAcentral lists this ribosomal RNA (1372 nucleotides) under uncultured bacterium. RNAcentral describes it as "bacterial SSU rRNA". It matches the Rfam family "Bacterial small subunit ribosomal RNA", at positions 28 to 1381 of the family's 1533-position model. The record is from RNAcentral.